RNAcentral lists this ribosomal RNA (407 nucleotides) under uncultured bacterium. RNAcentral describes it as "partial 16S ribosomal RNA". It matches the Rfam family "Bacterial small subunit ribosomal RNA", at positions 30 to 526 of the family's 1533-position model. The record is from RNAcentral.
AUUGAACGCUGGCGGCAGGCCUAACACAUGCAAUUCGAGCGGAGCGGCGGACGGGUGAGUAAUGCCUAGGAAUCUGCCUGGUCGUGUGGGAUAACGUCCGGAAACGGGCGCUAAUACCGCAUACUCUCCGAUGAGCAUAGGUCGAAUUAGCUAGUUGGUGGGGUAAAGGCCUACCAAGGCGACGAUCCGUAACUGGUCUGAGAGGAUGAUCAGUCACACUGGAACUGAGACACGGUCCAGACGCCUACGGGAGGCAGCAGUGGGGGAUAUUGCACAAUGGGCGAAGGCCUGAUGCAGCGACGCCGCGUGGGGGAUUAAGGCUUUCGGGUUGUAAACCGCGUUCGCUAUCGAACGGGUAGGUGGAGAAGAAGCGCCGGCUAACGACGUGCCAGCAGCCGCGGUAAUAC